Molecule: ribosomal RNA, 1037 nt
Filed under: Flavobacteriaceae bacterium 18-10PB
Lineage: Bacteria; Pseudomonadati; Bacteroidota; Flavobacteriia; Flavobacteriales; Flavobacteriaceae
Description: bacterial SSU rRNA
Rfam family: Bacterial small subunit ribosomal RNA
Source: RNAcentral
GUGCAACCUACCUUUAUCUGGGGGAUAGCCUUUCGAAAGGAAGAUUAAUACCCCAUAAUAUAUUUAGUGGCAUCAUUAGAUAUUGAAAACUCCGGUGGAUAGAGAUGGGCACGCGCAAGAUUAGAUAGUUGGUGAGGUAACGGCUCACCAAGUCUGUGAUCUUUAGGGGGCCUGAGAGGGUGAUCCCCCACACUGGUACUGAGACACGGACCAGACUCCUACGGGAGGCAGCAGUGAGGAAUAUUGGACAAUGGGUGAGAGCCUGAUCCAGCCAUCCCGCGUGAAGGACGACGGCCCUACGGGUUGUAAACUUCUUUUGUAUAGGAAUAAACCUAGAUACGUGUAUCUAGCUGAAGGUACUAUACGAAUAAGCACCGGCUAACUCCGUGCCAGCAGCCGCGGUAAUACGGAGGGUGCAAGCGUUAUCCGGAUUUAUUGGGUUUAAAGGGUCCGUAGGCGGACCUGUAAGUCAGUGGUGAAAUCUCGCAGCUUAACUGUGAAACUGCCAUUGAUACUGCAGGUCUUGAGUAAAUUAGAGGUAGCUGGAAUAAGUAGUGUAGCGGUGAAAUGCAUAGAUAUUACUUAGAACACCAAUUGCGAAGGCAGGUUACCAUGAUUUAACUGACGCUGAGGGACGAAAGCGUGGGGAGCGAACAGGAUUAGAUACCCUGGUAGUCCACGCCGUAAACGAUGCUAACUCGUUUUUGGGGCGCAAGCUUCAGAGACCAAGCGAAAGUGAUAAGUUAGCCACCUGGGGAGUACGUUCGCAAGAAUGAAACUCAAAGGAAUUGACGGGGGCCCGCACAAGCGGUGGAUUAUGUGGUUUAAUUCGAUGAUACGCGAGGAACCUUACCAAGGCUUAAAUGGGAAAUGACCGGUUUAGAAAUAGACCUUUCGCAAGACAUUUUUCAAGGUGCUGCAUGGUUGUCGUCAGCUCGUGCCGUGAGGUGUUAGGUUAAGUCCUGCAACGAGCGCAACCCCUGUCACUAGUUGCUACCAUUAAGUUGAGGACUCUAGUGAGACUGCCUACGCAAGUA